This 2903-nucleotide ribosomal RNA is filed under the name Escherichia coli. RNAcentral describes it as "23S ribosomal RNA". It matches the Rfam family "Bacterial large subunit ribosomal RNA". Lineage: Bacteria; Pseudomonadati; Pseudomonadota; Gammaproteobacteria; Enterobacterales; Enterobacteriaceae. The record is from RNAcentral.
GGUUAAGCGACUAAGCGUACACGGUGGAUGCCCUGGCAGUCAGAGGCGAUGAAGGACGUGCUAAUCUGCGAUAAGCGUCGGUAAGGUGAUAUGAACCGUUAUAACCGGCGAUUUCCGAAUGGGGAAACCCAGUGUGAUUCGUCACACUAUCAUUAACUGAAUCCAUAGGUUAAUGAGGCGAACCGGGGGAACUGAAACAUCUAAGUACCCCGAGGAAAAGAAAUCAACCGAGAUUCCCCCAGUAGCGGCGAGCGAACGGGGAGGAGCCCAGAGCCUGAAUCAGUGUGUGUGUUAGUGGAAGCGUCUGGAAAGGCGCGCGAUACAGGGUGACAGCCCCGUACACAAAAAUGCACAUAUUGUGAGCUCGAUGAGUAGGGCGGGACACGUGGUAUCCUGUCUGAAUAUGGGGGGACCAUCCUCCAAGGCUAAAUACUCCUGACUGACCGAUAGUGAACCAGUACCGUGAGGGAAAGGCGAAAAGAACCCCGGCGAGGGGAGUGAAAAAGAACCUGAAACCGUGUACGUACAAGCAGUGGGAGCCUCUUUUAUGGGGUGACUGCGUACCUUUUGUAUAAUGGGUCAGCGACUUAUAUUCUGUAGCAAGGUUAACCGAAUAGGGGAGCCGAAGGGAAACCGAGUCUUAACUGGGCGUUAAGUUGCAGGGUAUAGACCCGAAACCCGGUGAUCUAGCCAUGGGCAGGUUGAAGGUUGGGUAACACUAACUGGAGGACCGAACCGACUAAUGUUGAAAAAUUAGCGGAUGACUUGUGGCUGGGGGUGAAAGGCCAAUCAAACCGGGAGAUAGCUGGUUCUCCCCGAAAGCUAUUUAGGUAGCGCCUCGUGAAUUCAUCUCCGGGGGUAGAGCACUGUUUCGGCAAGGGGGUCAUCCCGACUUACCAACCCGAUGCAAACUGCGAAUACCGGAGAAUGUUAUCACGGGAGACACACGGCGGGUGCUAACGUCCGUCGUGAAGAGGGAAACAACCCAGACCGCCAGCUAAGGUCCCAAAGUCAUGGUUAAGUGGGAAACGAUGUGGGAAGGCCCAGACAGCCAGGAUGUUGGCUUAGAAGCAGCCAUCAUUUAAAGAAAGCGUAAUAGCUCACUGGUCGAGUCGGCCUGCGCGGAAGAUGUAACGGGGCUAAACCAUGCACCGAAGCUGCGGCAGCGACACUAUGUGUUGUUGGGUAGGGGAGCGUUCUGUAAGCCUGUGAAGGUGUGCUGUGAGGCAUGCUGGAGGUAUCAGAAGUGCGAAUGCUGACAUAAGUAACGAUAAAGCGGGUGAAAAGCCCGCUCGCCGGAAGACCAAGGGUUCCUGUCCAACGUUAAUCGGGGCAGGGUGAGUCGACCCCUAAGGCGAGGCCGAAAGGCGUAGUCGAUGGGAAACAGGUUAAUAUUCCUGUACUUGGUGUUACUGCGAAGGGGGGACGGAGAAGGCUAUGUUGGCCGGGCGACGGUUGUCCCGGUUUAAGCGUGUAGGCUGGUUUUCCAGGCAAAUCCGGAAAAUCAAGGCUGAGGCGUGAUGACGAGGCACUACGGUGCUGAAGCAACAAAUGCCCUGCUUCCAGGAAAAGCCUCUAAGCAUCAGGUAACAUCAAAUCGUACCCCAAACCGACACAGGUGGUCAGGUAGAGAAUACCAAGGCGCUUGAGAGAACUCGGGUGAAGGAACUAGGCAAAAUGGUGCCGUAACUUCGGGAGAAGGCACGCUGAUAUGUAGGUGAAGUCCCUCGCGGAUGGAGCUGAAAUCAGUCGAAGAUACCAGCUGGCUGCAACUGUUUAUUAAAAACACAGCACUGUGCAAACACGAAAGUGGACGUAUACGGUGUGACGCCUGCCCGGUGCCGGAAGGUUAAUUGAUGGGGUUAGCGCAAGCGAAGCUCUUGAUCGAAGCCCCGGUAAACGGCGGCCGUAACUAUAACGGUCCUAAGGUAGCGAAAUUCCUUGUCGGGUAAGUUCCGACCUGCACGAAUGGCGUAAUGAUGGCCAGGCUGUCUCCACCCGAGACUCAGUGAAAUUGAACUCGCUGUGAAGAUGCAGUGUACCCGCGGCAAGACGGAAAGACCCCGUGAACCUUUACUAUAGCUUGACACUGAACAUUGAGCCUUGAUGUGUAGGAUAGGUGGGAGGCUUAGAAGUGUGGACGCCAGUCUGCAUGGAGCCGACCUUGAAAUACCACCCUUUAAUGUUUGAUGUUCUAACGUUGACCCGUGAUCCGGGUUGCGGACAGUGUCUGGUGGGUAGUUUGACUGGGGCGGUCUCCUCCUAAAGAGUAACGGAGGAGCACGAAGGUUGGCUAAUCCUGGUCGGACAUCAGGAGGUUAGUGCAAUGGCAUAAGCCAGCUUGACUGCGAGCGUGACGGCGCGAGCAGGUGCGAAAGCAGGUCAUAGUGAUCCGGUGGUUCUGAAUGGAAGGGCCAUCGCUCAACGGAUAAAAGGUACUCCGGGGAUAACAGGCUGAUACCGCCCAAGAGUUCAUAUCGACGGCGGUGUUUGGCACCUCGAUGUCGGCUCAUCACAUCCUGGGGCUGAAGUAGGUCCCAAGGGUAUGGCUGUUCGCCAUUUAAAGUGGUACGCGAGCUGGGUUUAGAACGUCGUGAGACAGUUCGGUCCCUAUCUGCCGUGGGCGCUGGAGAACUGAGGGGGGCUGCUCCUAGUACGAGAGGACCGGAGUGGACGCAUCACUGGUGUUCGGGUUGUCAUGCCAAUGGCACUGCCCGGUAGCUAAAUGCGGAAGAGAUAAGUGCUGAAAGCAUCUAAGCACGAAACUUGCCCCGAGAUGAGUUCUCCCUGACCCUUUAAGGGUCCUGAAGGAACGUUGAAGACGACGACGUUGAUAGGCCGGGUGUGUAAGCGCAGCGAUGCGUUGAGCUAACCGGUACUAAUGAACCGUGAGGCUUAACCUU